UACAGAGACUGCGAGCGUUAUUCGGAUUCACUGGGCGUAAAGGGUGCGCAGGCGGCCGUGUGUGUGAGGCGUGAAAGCCCGGGGCUUAACCCCGGAAUUGCACCUCAAACUACACGGCUAGAGCAUUGGAGAGGGUAGCGGAAUUCACGGUGUAGCAGUGAAAUGCGUAGAUAUCGUGAGGAGCACCAGAGGCGAAGGCGGCUACCUGGACAAUUGCUGACGCUCAGGCACGAAAGCGUGGGGAGCAAAAGGG
Molecule: ribosomal RNA, 253 nt
Filed under: uncultured bacterium
Lineage: Bacteria
Description: partial 16S ribosomal RNA
Rfam family: Bacterial small subunit ribosomal RNA
Source: RNAcentral